This 253-nucleotide ribosomal RNA is filed under the name uncultured bacterium. RNAcentral's name for it is "partial 16S ribosomal RNA". It matches the Rfam family "Bacterial small subunit ribosomal RNA", at positions 524 to 776 of the family's 1533-position model. The record is from RNAcentral.
UACGUAGGGGGCUAGCGUUGUCCGGAAUCAUUGGGCGUAAAGAGCGUGUAGGCGGCUCGGUAAGUCCGCUGUGAAAGUCCAGGGCUCAACCCUGGAAUGCCGGUGGAAACUGUCGAGCUAGAGUCCGGAAGAGGCGAGUGGAAUUCCUGGUGUAGCGGUGAAAUGCGCAGAUAUCAGGAGGAACACCAAUGGCGAAGGCAGCUCGCUGGGACGGCACUGACGCUGAGACGCGAAAGCGUGGGGAGCAAACAGG